AUCCAGCUGACGAGUCCCAGAUAGGAUGAAACGCUCGUCUUGGAU
Non-coding RNA from Schistosoma rodhaini, 45 nucleotides. The record is from Rfam. Lineage: Eukaryota; Metazoa; Platyhelminthes; Trematoda; Strigeidida; Schistosomatidae.